This 6909-nucleotide long non-coding RNA is filed under the name Vitis vinifera (wine grape). Its description in RNAcentral is "long non-coding RNA (VVIN_LNC006407)". Lineage: Eukaryota; Viridiplantae; Streptophyta; Magnoliopsida; Vitales; Vitaceae. The record is from RNAcentral.
CACUCUCCCGCACACCUUGUUGGGGUUGCUGGUUUCCCCAGCCCUCCCAACCCGCGAUCCAUGCCAAUGCAUCUCCAACACUAAUUUCCCUGUGAAUGUCAAUUCCAGCUGUUGAUUGAGGAGGAAAGAUAGGUCUGUACCAUCACUCAAGCCAGAGAUUAUGACCAGAACAUCUGGGUUGGCUGAGUGCACUGCUUCAGCUCCUUUCUGCAUGUACCUGGUCAAUUCAUGAAUAGCUUUAUACCAAGACCAAUUCCUACAAAUAUGGUAACUAAUAGUUUGGAAAUAUAACAACCCCCUCCCUUACGUGUCCGUGUAGAUAUUGUCCAAUCCAAUGGGACCCUCACCAUACAAUACAAUGCAUAUAAGAUUAAGAAGAACCCAUGAAUACAUAACAUUCUUCAAUUUGGUCCCGCACAUUACGGAAUGAAUCAUUACAGGAAAAUAGAGAUCAUCACCUGUACCAGUCCUUCACAUUCUGAUUGGGGCAUCGGAGCUCAUUCCUCAAGCUCAUGCCCACCACAUUAGGGACACCGCUGAACAUGGUGGCAAUCCGGGUGAGGCCCUUGACCCACAAGUCUGGAUUGAAGUGCUGGUCGCCAAAGACGCCAUUGCCAUGGAAGCUGGGCUCGCUGAAGUGACUGUCUAGUAUGACCAUCAUAUUGUUGUCCGCAAGGUUAGACACCACCGCCUGCCAUAAUAACUUGAGAUAAAUACAAAACAGCGUUGGGUCUGUGCCUUUUUUACAAUACCGGUGUUUUAUCAUUAAAUAAUCACAAAUAUUAUUCUUUCCGAAUACUGUAGCUGUAACAGUGAGGGCGUUUGUCCAAAUUCACAAGCCACCUAUUUUUAAAUCAAGAUAAUCAUGAAAUCAUUUGAUAGUGUAAGAACCAAGGAACCAUUUCAAAAGCCUCCUAUUUUUACUCCAUGCCCUAAUCAAAAUUUAAGCUCUAAAUCAUGGUGGGAAAGUGACUAAAAAUCAAAAGAAAAGCAGGUAAGUUUUAAGCAAACAAAAUAGAUUCAUUCAAUUUUCCUGGUUCUUAAUGGAUUUGAGGCUUGGAGCCCCUUUAAUUGAUGCCUAGAGAAAAUCAAAUGAACUUGACCACCUGGUAAGCGCUUGUGAGAGGAAGAUCAAGCAUGGAAGGGUUAUUGGCCUGGAAACCAGCAAGGGAUUCAAGCAAGCCAAGCCUCUGAAAGGAUUGUCUAACAGUGAGGGAGGCCAGUGACUGGUCGAUGGCCAAGAAAAGUGGCAAAGUGAGCCUCACACAGUUGAACCCCAAGGACGCAAUCCUCUUGGAGAUGAGGUCAACUGGGUGGUUGCUGAGGCCCUCCGCCACCGCUGCUUCCUGAUGCGACAGCCAAUUCACGCAUGCCAGCUUCACCCGGGCGCCAUCUUCGUCUACUAUCCACCUUGAAUUGGUGUGUAGUGGCAGAGCCACCACAGGCUUCAGAGGUAGAAGACAUAGAAUAGAUAGAAAGAAGAAGAACCUCCCCAUCUGGAUUUGCAUCGACUGUUUGUUGGGUAGAUGGAACAUGAGACAUAGUAUUGUAUUUAUUAUUUGAGAAUUCAUUACAAUAUAUUUUUUUUCUAUUUUUAAAUUUUUUUAAUUAAUGUAAUUUUUUAUUUUUAUGUUUUGGGCAAAUUCUUCUAUUUUUAAAUUCUUCUAAUCAGUUAUAAUUUUUUAUUUUUAUGUUUUAGAUUAAUUCUAAAAUUAUUUCCUAUUUUUAUAUUUUGAAUAGAUUUUUUUCUAUUUUUAUGUUGUAGGUUUAUGUAUAUAUAUUAAUUCUUAAUCAAUGAGAAAGUCAAGUCAUUAUUUCUUAAUAAUUUUCUUUCUAUUUUAACAUUGUUUAUUUUUCUUUUUUAAAUUUUUUUUUUUUCUACUUUCUUCCCCACGUUAUGUUUUCGUAGACCAAAUGCAUAUAUAAAGUAAAAAAAUGAUCAUAACAUUAUUCAAAUAGUCAGCAUGUCUUUGAAUUUUGCUUUGUAAAAAUAUUAAAAAUUUAAGGAUGGGGUUUUUUCUUCAUAUUUAUUUGCAUAUUGUAGACUAUGAAUAGCCAUUAUAAUUGGCAUUGGAAACACGCAAAGUUACAGAACAUGGAAGUCAAAUAUUUGCUUGGAACUUUAGGGUUUGGAAAACUUGUAAGGCAGACCACAUCUACUCGGUUUCCCAUUGCUUUUUGUUUUUGUAUCUCGGCCUUGUGUUUAAUUCUUUUAAGCAAGUGAAUUUUAUACUUCUAUACUAUAAUUUAAAUUUAAAAAAUAAGUAUCUGAUGAUUUAAAUUUUCCUUAAUUACUCUUUAAAUCAAUAUACAUCUCUUUCCUUUUUAUUUAUUUCAACAAAAUAUUAAAGAAUAAUUUAGAAAAAUACUUUUAAAUUCACUUUAAUUUUUCCUCAUCCUUACUUGUAGUUUUUAAUUAAUUUUAAUUUAAUUAAUUAAUCAAUCAUGAUAAAUAUCCCUUCUUUACAGUACAGGUAAAGAGAAUCUGCUCGCACUCUUCUAUAUGGUACCAACUUCAACCAUUUAAAUAUCCCUUCUUUGUUUUUUUUUUCUUGCACAUGGGGUCCUUGUAUAACCAUGUUGGGUGAGGUCUCCCUUGAUUUGAGUGGAAUUCUAUGUUCAUGUGCUCUUGGAGGCGGUGAACCCUUAGGUUCGCUACAACAGUUGAGCUAAUUCCUUGGGUUCCUUUUCUCCCUCUUCAGCUGUAUUUUUUUCUACUUGUAUGGAGAAAAUUUGAACGUAGAUGCUUAAAAUAUGGAUUUUUGAUCCGAGUAUGAUAAUUUUAAAAAAUAAUUCUUAAAUUAUCGUAGUGGGAAAAAUAAUUCCAAAUUUACGGUAGUUGAGAAAGAUAUUUGUUUUUUUAAGUCGUCUUUUCAAAAGACGAUUUAUGAUCUUUUUUUUUUCACUAAGAAAUUGAAAUCGUCUCUUGAAAAAAUGAUUUCUACCAAAAAAAUAUAUAUAUAUAUAUAUAUAUAUAUAUAUAUAUAUAUAUAAUUAAUUAAUCAAAUAUCGUCUCUUGAAAAGAUAAUUUCCACCAAAAAAAAAUUAAGCAAUUAAAAAUCGUCUCUUCAAGAGACAAUUUCCAUAAAAAUAAAUAAAUAAAAUUUAAGUAAUUGGACAUGUCUUUUGAAAAGAUGAUUUUUCAAAAAAAAAAAAUUAAGUAAUUGAAAUUAUCUUUUGAAGAGACGAUUUUUACCACAAAAAAAAAAAAGUAAAAUUUAAUAACGAAGACGAUUAGGCAUUUGAAUAUGGAGAAUUUUACUAUAAAAGAUUUGGAUUGACUGACACAUUGUUUUUCUAUCCUUAAGGGAACAAGACCAAGAAAUUUAAGUGUCUUGCAUGAUGGAAAAUUUUGCAGGCCGGGGAUUUAUCCUUUCUUUUAACAUAAUAAUAUUUUGCAUAAUGGAAAAUUUUUGGAGCUUGGAUUUUCUUUAACUAGGAGAGUGAGCAAGAAGGCGUCCUCAUUAUCAUUAUCAUUGCUAUUUUCACUUUGGUCGGAAAGAAUAUGGGGAGUCACAUAUAUAUUUUUUUUGUACAAAUUGUCUCGAGACGAUUUCUUACUUGAUUUUAUUUUAUUUUAUUUUUGAAAUUGUUUCUUGAAGAUAAAAUUUCUCACUUCUUAAUUUUAUUUUAUUUUUAUUUUUUGAAAAUCGUCUCUUCAAAAGACGGUUUUUCAUUUCAUUUAUUACGAUUUAUUUAUAUUUUUUAAAAUCAUCUUUUGAAUAUACGAUUUUUCACUUCCAAUUUAUUUCUCUUUUCUAUUUGGAUAAAACUAAUUUAUAAUUAUUUUUCCUAUUAUGGUAAUUUAGGAAUUAAUUUUUAAAACCGUACUCUUAUCAAAAAAUCCCUUAAAAGUAUGUGCUUUAAAUCCCUAUAUGAUAUGCUAAAACUAACUUCAUGGAGCCUGUAGUACUACUACCUCUGAACAGGAAUUUCCUUCCAUUGACAGUAAAUUGCUUUCUUAGAUUGUUAAAAUUCCGCCUAAUGGGUCUCAAUUCAGCUAACAAUAUUGGAUCCCCAAAACCAUAUUGCAUCCUUCCAAGGUAUGAGUCUCAAAUCGGCUUAAUAAAAACUUCUUCCCUAGCAAGUUCCAUUUCAAUUGCCUGCAAACUGCAUCACCAGUGUUCAUUAUUGAAUUAUAGAUUGCACGGAUCUACCCUCACGGAUCCACACACACAGCCCUUGGCCACAAUGGGCUCUGGUUCUCUUCAUGCAAUGGCUGUAAUUUGACUGUAAAUUGGCACACUGAAGUUGGGAUAUUCUUAGAACUAGCUUUAAUUUAUUUAAAAACAGAAGCUACUUAUGUAUUCUUACAAGUUUCUAUAGAAGAUACAUAUAACACUGAUAGCAUGUACCUGAGCCCAUCAGAAUAAACUACAUAUUUUAAGCUUAAAAUGCCCAUCGCUGAGGGAGAUGAGGCUUUGAUAAAGUUAUUUUUAAGAUUUUCCCUUGCUACACACAUAUACAUAUACAUAUACAUAUACACACAACAAAGCUUGCAAGAAUAGGUCUUCUAGCAAGUCCAAGGUGGAUCUAGCUGGUCUGAAGAAUAGGUCUUCUUGAAAUAUUUGUGCUGUCAACAACCUUGAACCACUGGCUCCCAGGAUCACACGUAUCAUCUCUACCCAAGCACUUGCAGGCAUCUGUGACAAUGGUGCUGCUGGAGUCUACAUCCAAGCAAACCGUGGUGCUAUCCCCCAGCUUAGUUGACAGGUACAUCUUUGAAUCUGAAAUGAUAUCCCAAUUUGACCCAGGUUUAGUGCAUAUUAUACUGAGUUUUGCAGGCUUCCCUAGCUCAACUGCUUGAAGGCAGAAGUAUGACCCCUUCACUAUCAACAACUUUUGGGGGGUGUAGCCCCAGGCGUCUGACUUAGUGCAGGGACCUAGCUUUAAUGGUUCAGUCCAUGACUCCCACAGAAUGCAAAGACCAGUCGGAGGAUGGAGGAUUAUUUUAUGUGGUCUGACUCGGGAUACAUCUGGCCCUGCAUCUCACAUGAAAGCACAAAAAAAUUAGAUAUGAAUAAUUAAGUAAAUUUGCCUUAUUUGUCUUAGCAACCAUACCUUGCAAAGGAGAUUGGAGGGCUGAAAUCCUCUGGAAGACGCUUGAGUUCCAAUUCAUUAACCCAUUAGUCUCUUCCACUGUCCAUAAUGCCCAAUCGAAGUCCAGUUCAGCUGCCAGGCCAAAGAAGCAAUUUAAGUUCCUGUUGUCAUCCACCCCAAGCUCACUCACAAACAUUAAUGGCCACCCUUGCUGUAGCAGAACCCCCCCUCUCCUCAUUAUGCUGUCCACCACUCUCCCGCACACCUUGUUGGGGUUGCUGGUUUCCCCAGCCCUCCCAGCCCGCAAUCCAUCCCAAUGCAUCUCCAACACUAAUUUCCCUGUGAAUGUCAAUUCCAGCUGUUGAUUGAGGAGGAAAGAUAGGUCUGUACCAUCACUCAAGCCAGAGAUUAUGACCAGAACAUCUGGGUUGGCUGAGUGCACUGCUUCAGCUCCUUUCUGCAUGUACCUGGUCCAUUCAUGAAUAGCUUUAUAACAAGACCAAUUCCUACAAAUACGAUAAUUAAUAGUAUGAAAUUAUAACAAACCCCUCCCUUCCUUGUCAAUAUAGAUAUUGUCAAUUGGGAAACUUUACAAUGCAUUUAUAAGGUUAAGAAACUUUACAAUGCAUUUAUAAGGUUAAGAAGAGCCCAUAAAUAUAUAGUAUCAGGGGUUUUUGCCAAUUUGAUCCACAAUCCGUAGAGACACGAUAAGGAUUUUGUGUCUGGAUAGGGUGAUUGUAAUAUCAUAGGCCAAAAGUUCUUAACACUAUAUAUGACACGUUUUAAAGCCAUCCAUCGAGUCUAAAGAAAACAAUAUCUACAAGAUUGGGCUCACCUGUACCAGUCCUUCACAUUCUGUUUGGGGCAUCGGAGCUCAUUCCUCAAGCUCAUGCCCACCACGUUAGGCACACCACUGAACACGGUGGCCAUCCGGGUAAGGCCCUUGACCCACAAGUCUGGGUUGAAGUACUGGUCGCCAAAGAUGUCGUUGCUAUGGAAGCUGGGCUUACUGAAGUGACUGUCUAGUAUGAUCAUCAUAUUGUUGUCCGCAAUGUUAGACACCACCGCCUGCCAUAACAACCUAUUAGAUUAAUACAAACCAGGAGUAGGGUCUGAGCCUUUUUGAUAUUUCCGGUGUUUUAUCAUUAAAUUAUCCGAAAUCUUAUCCUUUCUGAAUACUGUAGCUGUAACAGUGAAGGCGUUUGACCAAAUUCACAAGCCACCUUUUUUAAAAUCAAGAUAAUCAUGAACCAUGUGAUAGCGUAAGAACCAAGGAACCAUGUGAUAGCUUAAGAACCAAGGAACCAUGCCCUAAUCAAAAUUUAAUCUCUAAAUCAUGGUGGGAAAGUGAUUAAAAACCAAAAGAAAAGCAGAUCAGUUUUAGGCAAACAAAAUAGAUUCAUUCAAUUUUCCUGAUACUUAAUGGAUUUGAGGCUUGGAGCCCCUUCAACUGAUGCCUAGACAGAAUCAAAUGAACUACCCACCUGGUAAGCGCUUGUGAGAGGAAGAUCAAGCAUGGAAGGGUUAUUGGCUUGGAAUCCAGCAAGGGAUUCAAGCAAGCCAAGCCUCUGAAAGGACUGUCUAACAGUGAGGGAGGCCAGUGACUGGUCGGUGGCCAAGAAAAGUGGCAGAGCGAGCCUCACACAGUUGAACCCCAAGGACGCAAUCCUCUUGGAGAUGAGGUCAACUGGGUGGUUGCUGAGACCCUCAGCCACCGGUGCUUCCCGAUGAGACGGCCAAUUCACGCAUGCCAGCUUCACCCGGGCGCCAUCUUCGUCUACUAUCCACCUUGAAGUGGUGUGUAGUGGCAGAGCCACCACAGGCUUCAGAGGUAGAAGACAUAAAAUAGAUAGAAGGAAGAAGAAGGAA